This 253-nucleotide ribosomal RNA is filed under the name uncultured bacterium. RNAcentral's name for it is "partial 16S ribosomal RNA". It matches the Rfam family "Bacterial small subunit ribosomal RNA", at positions 524 to 776 of the family's 1533-position model. The record is from RNAcentral.
UACGAAGGGGGCUAGCGUUGCUCGGAAUCACUGGGCGUAAAGGGUGCGUAGGCGGGUCUUUAAGUCAGGGGGGAAAUCCUGGAGCUCAACUCCAGAACUGCCUUUGAUACUGAAGAUCUUGAGUUCGGGAGAGGUGAGUGGAACUGCGAGUGUAGAGGUGAAAUUCGUAGAUAUUCACAGGAACUCCGGUGGCGAAGGCGGCUCGCUGGAUCUUUUCUGACGCUGAGGCGCGAAAGCUAGGGGAGCAAACGGG